RNAcentral lists this ribosomal RNA (492 nucleotides) under uncultured bacterium. RNAcentral describes it as "partial 16S ribosomal RNA". It matches the Rfam family "Bacterial small subunit ribosomal RNA", at positions 29 to 507 of the family's 1533-position model. The record is from RNAcentral.
AGUGAACGCUGGCGGUAGGCCUAACACAUGCAAGUCGAACGGCAGCACAGUAAGAGCUUGCUCUUACGGGUGGCGAGUGGCGGACGGGUGAGGAAUACAUCGGAAUCUACUUUUUCGUGGGGGAUAACGUAGGGAAACUUACGCUAAUACCGCAUACGACCUACGGGUGAAAGCAGGGGAUCUUCGGACCUUGCGCGAUUGAAUGAGCCGAUGUCGGAUUAGCUAGUUGGCGGGGUAAAGGCCCACCAAGGCGACGAUCCGUAGCUGGUCUGAGAGGAUGAUCAGCCACGCUGGAACUGAGACACGGUCCAGACUCCUACGGGAGGCAGCAGUGGGGAAUAUUGGACAAUGGGCGCAAGCCUGAUCCAGCCAUACCGCGUGGGUGAAGAAGGCCUUCGGGUUGUAAAGCCCUUUUGUUGGGAAAGAAAAGCAGCAGGUUAAUACCCCGCUGUUCUGACGGUGCCCAAAGAAUAAGCACCGGCUAACUUCGUG